Molecule: ribosomal RNA, 413 nt
Filed under: uncultured bacterium
Lineage: Bacteria
Description: bacterial SSU rRNA
Rfam family: Bacterial small subunit ribosomal RNA
Source: RNAcentral
GUGUCAGCAGCCGCGGUAAGACGAGGGAUCCUAGCGUUGUUCGGAAUCAUUGGGCGUAAAGCGGGUGCAGGUGGCUCUGUAAGUCAGGUGUGAAAGCCCUGGGCUUAACCCAGGAAGUGCAUUUGAUACUGCAGAGCUUGAGUGCUGGAGAGGCUACUAGAAUUCCUGGUGUAGUGGUGAAAUACGUAGAUAUCAGGAGGAAUACCGGAGGCGAAGGCGGGUAGCUGGCCAGACACUGACACUCAGACCCGAAAGUGCGGGGAUCAAACAGGAUUAGAUACCCUGGUAGUCCGCACCAUAAACGAUGGAUACUUGUUGUUGGAGGUAUUGACCCCUUCAGUGACGUAGCUAACGCGUUAAGUAUCCCGCCUGGGGAGUACGGUCGCAAGAUUAAAACUCAAAGAAAUUGACGG